UGAAUUAAUUAAUUCUAUAGUACAUUAUCAGUGUUACAUACAUGCAUCAAUUGGAUGCAUGCACGAAUUAUUUCUAUAAAAAAAAUAUAUAUAUAUAAUUUUUUUUGUUUGAUUCAAAAUUAACGUCAAAACGCACAGUCGUUUAGGAGCUGCGGCGUCGUUUUCUUUCUUCUCCGACGUAGUUUCGUUCACCGGCUCAUCCGACGGCAACAAUCAUCACUGUUCUACAACCAUUUGUAAUAUCCAAUAUGCUUUCAGGUUUCUCUUUUUACCCAUUUCUACUCUUGUCUCAUCUUUUUUUGCCUGGUAGUGAUACUCAUGCACCCCACUUGUUUGUUGAAUUGCCUAGCUGACAUGAUUGUGUAAUUUUGUGCUGGGGAGUGGGGAAG
Molecule: long non-coding RNA, 389 nt
Filed under: Trifolium pratense (red clover)
Lineage: Eukaryota; Viridiplantae; Streptophyta; Magnoliopsida; Fabales; Fabaceae
Description: long non-coding RNA (TPRA_LNC010572)
Source: RNAcentral